GAGAGGUGUCCGAGUGGUCGAAGGUGCUUGACUCGAAAUCAAGUUCGGCUAAUAACCGACGUGGGUUCGAAUCCCACCCUCUCC
Molecule: transfer RNA, 84 nt
Filed under: bovine gut metagenome
Rfam family: tRNA
About the family: Transfer RNA (tRNA) molecules are approximately 80 nucleotides in length. Their secondary structure includes four short double-helical elements and three loops (D, anti-codon, and T loops).
Source: RNAcentral